RNAcentral lists this transfer RNA (64 nucleotides) under bovine gut metagenome. It matches the Rfam family "tRNA", at positions 6 to 65 of the family's 71-position model. From Rfam's summary of the family: Transfer RNA (tRNA) molecules are approximately 80 nucleotides in length. The record is from RNAcentral.
CCUUUAGCUCAGUUGGUAGAGCAACUGACUCUUAAUCAGUGGGUCCCGGGUUCGAGUCCCCGAA